This 279-nucleotide ribosomal RNA is filed under the name uncultured bacterium. RNAcentral describes it as "partial 16S ribosomal RNA". It matches the Rfam family "Bacterial small subunit ribosomal RNA", at positions 506 to 784 of the family's 1533-position model. The record is from RNAcentral.
UGCCAGCCGCCGCGGUAACACGAACUGUGCGAACGUUAUUCGGAAUCACUGGGCUUAAAGGGUGCGUAGGCGGUCUUGUAGGUCAGAUGUGAAAGCCCACGGCUCAACCGUGGAAUUGCGUUUGAAACCACAAGACUUGAGUGAGAUAGAGGUAAGCGGAACUGAUGGUGGAGCGGUGAAAUGCGUUGAUAUCAUCAGGAACACCGGUGGCGAAAGCGGCUUACUGGGUCUCUACUGACGCUGAGGCACGAAAGCGUGGGGGGCAAACAGGAUUAGAUA